This 214-nucleotide long non-coding RNA is filed under the name Brassica napus (rape). Its description in RNAcentral is "long non-coding RNA (BNAP_LNC024511)". The record is from RNAcentral. Lineage: Eukaryota; Viridiplantae; Streptophyta; Magnoliopsida; Brassicales; Brassicaceae.
AUCAGUUUCCCAGAAGAACAAAUGUCGGUAGGAUCCCUUUCCUAUUCAAUGUUAUCGCAUUAGUCAAGAUGGAGAAAUGACCGCAGUGGAAAAUUGGAGUGCAUGGGAUACGUACCUGAAGAGGAGGAAGAGCAAGCGAACUAAUACUACAUUGCUGGGACUGAAUCGAAACCCUGAACCGGAGGAGUAACAUGUCGACCAACUGCAAUCAACA